GCCGCGUGUGUGAAGAAGGUCUUCGGAUUGUAAAGCACUUUAAGUUGGGAGGAAGAGCAGUAACCUAAUACGUUAUUGUUUUGACGUUACCGACAGAAUAAGCACCGGCUAACUCUGUGCCAGCAGCCGCGGUAAUACAGAGGGUGCAAGCGUUAAUCGGAAUUACUGGGCGUAAAGCGCGCGUAGGUGGUUUGUUAAGUUGAAUGUGAAAUCCCCGGGCUCAACCUGGGAACUGCAUCCAAAACUGGCAAGCUAGAGUAGGGCAGAGGGUGGUGGAAUUUCCUGUGUAGCGGUGAAAUGCGUAGAUAUAGGAAGGAACACCAGUGGCGAAGGCGACCACCUGGGCUCAUACUGACACUGAGGUGCGAAAGCGUGGGGAGCAAACAGGAUAAGAUGGAGUCCACGCCGUAAACGAUGUCAACUAGCCGUUGGAAUCCUUGAGAUUUUAUGGCGAGCUAACUUAA
This 464-nucleotide ribosomal RNA is filed under the name Pseudomonas viridiflava. RNAcentral's name for it is "bacterial SSU rRNA". It matches the Rfam family "Bacterial small subunit ribosomal RNA", at positions 396 to 860 of the family's 1533-position model. Lineage: Bacteria; Pseudomonadati; Pseudomonadota; Gammaproteobacteria; Pseudomonadales; Pseudomonadaceae. The record is from RNAcentral.